This 255-nucleotide ribosomal RNA is filed under the name uncultured bacterium. RNAcentral describes it as "partial 16S ribosomal RNA". It matches the Rfam family "Bacterial small subunit ribosomal RNA", at positions 524 to 776 of the family's 1533-position model. The record is from RNAcentral.
UACAGAGGUCUCAAGCGUUGUUCGGAUUCAUUGGGCGUAAAGGGUGCGUAGGUGGCGCCAUAAGUCAGGUGUGAAAAUCUCGGAGCUCAACUCCGAAACUGCACUUGAUACUGUGGUGCUUGAGUACUGGAGAGGAGAUUGGAAUUUACGGUGUAGCAGUGAAAUGCGUAGAUAUCGUAAGGAAGACCAGUGGCGAAGGCGAAUCUCUGGACAGUAACUGACGCUGAGACGCGAAAAGCGUGGGGAGCAAACAGG